GACGAACGCUGGCGGCGUGCCUAACACAUGCAAGUCAAGGGGAACACCCGAUUUCGAUUGGGUAAGUAUACUGGCGGACGGGUGAGUAACGCGUAGGCAACCUGCCCUUAUGAGUGGGAUAACCCAGCGAAAGCUGGACUAAUACCGCAUAACAUUGUGAUAUUGCCUGAUAAUACAAUCAAAGGUUGCUUUUCGGAGCAAUCGCGUAAGGAUGGGCCUGCGUUCCAUUAGUUAGUUGGUGAGGUAACGGCUCACCAAGGCGACGAUGGAUAGCUGGUUUGAGAGAGUGAUCAGCCACACUGGGACUGAGAUACGGCCCAGACUCCUACGGGAGGCUG
RNAcentral lists this ribosomal RNA (338 nucleotides) under uncultured Deferribacteres bacterium. RNAcentral's name for it is "bacterial SSU rRNA". It matches the Rfam family "Bacterial small subunit ribosomal RNA", at positions 28 to 351 of the family's 1533-position model. Lineage: Bacteria; Pseudomonadati; Deferribacterota; Deferribacteres. The record is from RNAcentral.